This 611-nucleotide ribosomal RNA is filed under the name uncultured bacterium. RNAcentral's name for it is "bacterial SSU rRNA". It matches the Rfam family "Bacterial small subunit ribosomal RNA", at positions 338 to 944 of the family's 1533-position model. The record is from RNAcentral.
CCUACGGGAGGCAGCAGUAAGGAAUAUUGGUCAAUGGAGGCAACUCUGAACCAGCCAUGCCGCGUGCAGGAAGACGGCCCUAUGGGUUGUAAACUGCUUUUGAACUAGAGAAAACCUUGGUACGUGUACCGAGUUGAUAGUAUAGUUAGAAUAAGCAUCGGCUAACUUCGUGCCAGCAGCCGCGGUAAGACGAAGGAUGCAAGCGUUAUCCGGAUUCAUUGGGUUUAAAGGGUGCGUAGGCGGACUGAUAAGUCAGUGGUGAAAUCUCUCAGCUUAACUGAGAAACUGCCAUUGAUACUGUUAGUCUAGAGUACAGAUGAUGUGGGCGGAAUAUGACAUGUAGUGGUGAAAUACUUAGAUAUGUCAUAGAACACCGAUUGCGAAGGCAGCUCACAAAACUGUAAACUGACGCUGAGGCACGAAAGUGCGGGGAUCAAACAGGAUUAGAUACCCUGGUAGUCCGCACCGUAAACGAUGAUUACUCGUUGUUGGCGAUAUGACAGUCAGCGACCAAGCGAAAAGCGAUAAGAAUCCACCUGGGGAGUACGCCGGCAACGGUGAAACUCAAAAGGAAUUGACGGNGNGAGAGNGCGAGCGACACGAGGGAGAGG